Molecule: ribosomal RNA, 460 nt
Filed under: uncultured bacterium
Lineage: Bacteria
Description: partial 16S ribosomal RNA
Rfam family: Bacterial small subunit ribosomal RNA
Source: RNAcentral
CCUACGGGAGGCAGCAGUGAGGAAUAUUGGUCAAUGGACGAAAGUCUGAACCAGCCAAGUAGCGUGAAGGAUGACUGCCCUAUGGGUUGUAAACUUCUUUUAUAUGGGAAUAAACUGUUCCACGUGUGGGUUUUUGUAUGUACCCUAUGAAUAAGGAUCGUCUAACUCCGUGCCAGCAGCCGCGGUAAUACGGAGGGUCCGGGCGUUAUCCGGAUUUGUUGGGUUUAAAGGGAGCGUAGGUGGAUGGUUAAGUCAGUUGUGAAAGCUUGCGGCUCAACCGUAAAACUGCAGUUGAAACUGGCAGUCUUGAGUACAGUAGAGGUGGGCGGAAUUCGUGGUGUAGCGGUGAAAUGCUUAGAUAUCACGAAGAACGCCGAUUGCGAAGGCAGCUCACUGGACCGUAACUGACACUGAGGCUCGAAAGUGUGGGUAUCAAACAGGAUUAGAUACCCCAGUAGUC